This is a long non-coding RNA of Poecilia latipinna (sailfin molly), 2702 nucleotides long. RefSeq lists it as uncharacterized. The transcript has 3 exons. NCBI's taxonomy places the organism in Eukaryota, Metazoa, Chordata, Actinopteri, Cyprinodontiformes, Poeciliidae. The record is from RefSeq and is a predicted model, not a curated record.
GAUUGUGUGUUUCUGUGUUUUGCUUCAGGUCCUCUAGAGUUCAGAUUGUCUUCAGAUGUGGUUCCACGUUGUGCGUUUCCAGCUCGCUGGGUUUCAUCCAAGCCAGAGCAUCACGAGGUGAGAACAGCGGCUGGUUGGCUGCUGAACGUCUGCAGUGGCUUCUGCUGGUGGCAGCUGCCAGGCAGGCUGCUCAUCGUGGAGCCGGGACCAGACCUCCAUCCUUCUGAUGCAGCUUUCCCUGGACGUCACCGGCUCCAGGGCAGCUGGUUAAAACAACCAUAAACCUGCAGGUCACCGGCUCCAGGGCAGCUGGUUAAAACAACCAUAAACCUGCAGGUCACCGGCUCCAGCCCUAAAUAAACUGAAUAUUAAUGAACAAACAGAAAUGUGUGCAGAUUACAGAUGUCCACCCAACGGACAGAUCAAAACAGGAACCAAAGGAGCAGUGAGGAAGAGGAGGGUGAGGAAGCACAGCGAGGAACAAACGGAGCUUCAGCCUCAGAUCCAACAAACAGCCAACAGUGGAGAGACUACCAGCCAGUUUUCAGCUGGAAUCAGCACCAAGUGGUGAAACUGAAAAAUCAUAUAUUUAUCCAGUCAGUGAAGGCAACACAGGAUAUUUUAGAAUCAAUCAAGUCAAAGAAAGUAUUUAAAUUGUAAAACAUGUCCAUGGCUGAGAGAGAGCAGAUAACAGGAAGGCUAAACAAACAACAAGGUAUUUUACUCACAUCAAGACCGCUGCGCUAACCAUGCUAAUGGCUAAACUGCUUAAUGAUUUUGUCUGUUUGAAAAUAUUACUAGCAACAGCGACUGCUCUAUAAUGUGAUUAAUUUAAACAGUUAGUGACAAACUGGAAGGCUAGAAAAUCAAAGUUUUUUCAAAAGAAAAUUGUCUCCAAACGUCUGAUUGUUGGUUAUCAGUAAGAAAAAGAUUGCUUCAGCUACUUCUGCAUCCUGAAUUCAUCAGACUAAUAUCAAUUUACACACAAAGAUUCCUUAGCGCUCCAACUUCAGGCCUUCAGACAUUCAUCCAGAGUGUUGCAUAAUAUCAUUUGUUCUCUAGUUUUGCUGUAAACUGCAGCUGCCUUCUCGUUUGUUCCACAACAGCCAACAGAACCGGAGCAUAAAAGAGGAGAAGCGUCUCUUUCCCCAGCAGGAUGGGUUCAUCUCUCAGGAUGAACCGUUUGACCUUCAGGUCAAGGUCGUCUGAGCAGCACCGGGUCAAACCUGCCAGAGAUUCUGACUCUGUUCAUCUGCUGACCAACGAUAAAACCUUAAUUUAAUCAACAAGGAAAUCCUGUUUACAUUAAUACAGAAACUUUAUUAGUAGCUUUACGUCUUUACAAAAAGAGCUUCAUGUUUGUGGUUUACAGUCUAAAUAUUCCUACCACAACUAUUUAAUAAAAAUAACCAGAUUUAAAAGUCCUUCUUUAAACAUUUAAAAGUACUCACAUAUUUAACACAUUAUUAUAGACACAUUUAUAUAAACUGUCUUUACAUGAGAUAACAGAGUAAUCAAUGACGUUUCCUGUAAAUGAAUAUUUGAACAUGUACAGUGUUUCUACGAUGAGUUUAUAUCUCUAUAUGAUGGAGAUGUUAGUCAAACAGCUUUUUCCAGAUGAUGUGAGACGAUAAGCAGAAAACUUCUCCUGCCUUCCGACCCGGCAGCUUCUGCUUUAAGCUAUGUACAGAUUUCAGGAAACAGAUUCAAACCUCACAGCUCUGAUGUUCACCAAAUGAUUACAUUUCCUCUGGGAGAAGCAGAAAUUGUCUCUGCCUGCAGAUUAAUGCUGGAGUUUCUGGUUGACGCGUUUGAGUUGGACAAAGAGACGUUGGGACUCACUGCUGCUUCAUAUGACGGGUCAGAGAUGUUUCUGAUUAUUGCAUUUCUGGACCACAUGUGGUGCUCUUCACUUUCUGAAUCUUUUUCUUCUAAAUAAUAAUAAUUGUUUCAACAGAAGCUUCAUGCUUGGCCUCCUGCAGCUGCAGCAGUAGAGCCGGAAACCUGAAGGAGCUGCAGAGUUUUACUGCGUUUCUCUGCUGAAUAAAACGUUUUGUGUUCCAAAUAUAAGUUUUGUGAUGAAUGGGGUUUGACAUUGGUAUGGAUGAUCCUCCACACAUUUUGCUGACCGGUGUGUCUGAACAGACUUUGCUGCUCAGACCCAGUUUUGCUCCGUCAGGCUCCAGUGAAGUCAGAGCUGAAUCUCAAAAACACAUUUAAUCAGAACCGAAUCCUGACAUGGAGAAAGGUUUUCCUUAAACAUCUGGUUUUACGUCACUUUUACAUCAGAUUCGCUCUAAUUCAUUUCCCUUGUUACUUCUGGAAGUCUCUUCAGGUCAACACAUUACUAACAUCAUUUAGUAAAAACUAGUUUCAAAGAUUUUAGUUUUAUUUGUGCUUCUAAUUAUUUAUCGCCUGAAACUGCAAAUCUUAACUAAACCUAACUAAAACAUAGUUAAAUAUUCUGUAGGUGUUUAUUUAUGAAUGGUGAUGAUUGUAAAGUGACCGAUGCUUCAGUAACUCAGCUGGCAGUGGAGAAACAUUUUGGAUUUUAGGUUGUUAUUUUUCUCUCCUCUCGGUCAGAUGUGUCAGAAGUCAUCUGGCUGCCUUCGUGCUGCUCCAGUCCUGCUAACAUCCAGUGGAUCCAGUUCCUGCUAACAUCCAGUGGAUCCAGUUCCUGCUAACAUCCAGUGGAUCCAGUC